Molecule: ribosomal RNA, 356 nt
Filed under: uncultured Prevotella sp.
Lineage: Bacteria; Pseudomonadati; Bacteroidota; Bacteroidia; Bacteroidales; Prevotellaceae
Description: bacterial SSU rRNA
Rfam family: Bacterial small subunit ribosomal RNA
Source: RNAcentral
UGGGGAAUCUUCCGCAAUGGGCGAAAGCCUGACGGAGCAACGCCGCGUGAGUGAUGACGGCCUUCGGUUGUAAAGCUCUGUGAUCGGGGACGAACGGUCAGCAGACGAAUACUCUGCUGAAGUGACGGUACCCGAAUAGCAAGCCACGGCUAACUACGUGCCAGCAGCCGCGGUAAUACGGAAGGUCCGGGCGUUAUCCGGAUUUAUUGGGUUUAAAGGGAGCGUAGGCCGUCUUAUAAGCGUGUUGUGAAAUGUCGGGGCUCAACCUGGGCAUUGCAGCGCGAACUGUGAGACUUGAGUGCGCAGGAAGUAGGCGGAAUCGUCGUGUAGCGGUGAAAUGCUUAGAUAUGACGAAG